CUUUUUCUGUUUCCCACGAGACGUGUAUGCCUAUAGCCUAGUCCUUUCGAUAAUAAUAAUAAAAAAAAACGAUUAGAAAUGCGUAGCUUGGAGUGUCAAAACUGUAUUAGGCCUCCUAUUUUUAUUUUUAUUUCGUGCAAUUUAGUUAUAUCGUAACAAAUAUACGCAUUUAGAGGAACGGUAGACCGGUCUUCAUCCAGAUUUAGUGUAAAUAAACCAAACACAGAAACACUGAAAGAUUGUAUUUUCGGAAUUUAGAUUCUAUUUUUUUGAAAAAAUGUGGCAUUUUAUAGGGUGGUCGAAAAAAAUAACUUUUGUGACGAUCUCUUAUUCGGGAAAAUUUUAUCUAUUAUAUCAGAUAGUCAGAAAAUGGAUGAAGUUUUUACACAUCUAAUCAAAUAGAGCGUACGAAAGUUUUACACCCAUUGCAAGGGACUGACGGAGUAAAUCUCUUCUUUGGCAUCAUCAUGGAUUUCUCCACAUUGCACCAUGCGCGAAAAUGAUGCGCGACGGCACUUCCACUCUCUUUGGCUUUGUAAAAAACUCGAAGCUGGUGUUCCAUUAGUAUAGUUCCAUGUUUUAACCAACAAAAUCCAUCUGGCAACAAUUGGCUGCCUAGGAGAUGAUCAUAAUUUAAAUAUGGCGGCCGCCAGCUAAAACACCUCCUCCCUAUAGGCUAAUCCACGUCGUUUUACUCUCCAUUUCAUAAACUCUCGUUACUGCGACAAUUUUUUUUAAGAACCCUCAACUCGAUCUACCCCCCCCCCCCCACACACACACAAACACGCGCGCUGAUUGACCCAAAGCGGCGCCUUCGACAUUGAAAGCCUUAGCUCUGACCAGAUCGCGGCCUACGUCAUCACUCGUCAGAGGCCAAUGUUAUGCGUCACUGAUGAUGCGUGCGAAACCACUGUGUUGCUGUGUACAUAGAUAGAAUGAUUUCUUUUGAAACAAAUAGAAUCUUCGUCUAAAUAUGAUUUAGACUUUUCAAAACAUUCAUCAUGGAUUAAAACUCUACAAUGGUGAACAAAUGUCUCGUUUUGUAAAGGAUCUAGAUCUAGCAGAUGCUUUCCGAUUACCAAAAGAUGAAUGAUUAUGAUGGCUUAGAAAGAAAAAUGGCCAGCGGUAAUAGUACCUUUGGCUUAGUAAAGUUAGUAGAAGGAUAGAUCUACGUACCAUAAAGGAGUACUCUAAAUAUUUCUAGAUCCAGCAUUCCUAUUAAUAUUAUACAUAAUUAAUUGACUUUUAUGCUUUUGAUGAAUAACAUGAUAAUCAUUAUAUAAAGUCAAAAUGGGUAGAUCUACUAUCUAGCCUAGGGCCUAGGCGCCCUGGGGCUAGGCCUAGCCUAGGCAUUGAAUACUUGAUCUAGAUCUAGAUUAAUUUCUUUACAAAUUAGACUAGGACGAUGUAGAUCUAAUUGUAAAUCUAUUAAUUUAAUAACAAUUCUGUCAAUAAUUAUAGAGUCUAGAUCUAGUUUAUAUACAAAUAGCAUUUUUUUUUAUAGUAGGUAUCACGUUCAUCAAUUGUGGAUGUCAGAUGUCAAGAUCUAUAAAGAUGCUAUCAGUAUCAUGGAUGUCACGUUAUAGAAUAUUAUAGAUUAUCUUGAUCUGUAUCACACUAUCAUUGAUCGUGAUUGCCGAGGAUCUUGAAAUCUUCUUUUAACAAGAUGAUCGUAUAGAAGUAGCUAGAUCUAGUUGAUAAUACGAUCAUUCAGAAUGUUGCCAGUUGAUAAGAGGAUCAUCUAGAAGUCGCCAAUCGCUAAGUCAAUCCAAGUAUAUUACUAUAUUCAAUAAAGAAACUUCUCUUCGUCUAAAACAAUUACUUUAAUUCAUAACUUGAAAAAGCUCUUCACAAUAAUUACAGUGGUUAAAUGUACUUGAAUAGAAUAACUGAUCUACACAAUAAUAUAACUGAGUUCUAAUAUGUGAGCAGGUCAGGGUGGCGCUAACUGAGUGGGGCCUUUUUGUGUUAUUAUCUGCUGCUCAGCAUUUAUUCAUUAUAACAGUAGGCAAGGGGUAGCUCUACUGGGUGGGCCCAAUCUGUGCACCUCGGUCUGCGACCAAGGGGCUAGAGUAGCCUAAGCAAUCAGACAGCACAAUUAAACUAAACUAAACUAAUCUAGCUAACUAAAAGAAACAUCCAACUAAAUUUAUAAAACAAAAUAUAUAUAUACACUUUAUUUACAUUGACACAAAAAAAAAACCAGUAAUAAAACAAAUAUACCCACUACAAAACAAUAAACCACUCAAUUAACCUAAAUUACCCCAACACUAAACGGUAAGCUACUAGCAGCAGUAAAGCAGAACUACAGCAGACAGGAAUUAUAGCCUGCAAUUACAAAUAUAAACAAACAUAAAAAAUAUAUUAUAAAUAAUCAUUAUAAUAUUAAUGGAAAUACUUUUAGAAACAUUAACAAAUAGACAUAGUAUAGAAAAGCAACAAGGGGAUUAUUAGGGAUAAUUAGAUCUAGGAGCGCCAGCUCACAAAUACAAAAUUGAUGUUAUCACUAACACGUUCCAAAACAAGACUGAUGCGAUUUUGGAUCUUGCCCGGGCACUAGAGCGGGAUCACGUGCUCAACAACUCUACUCUGCAAGACCAACCAAUAAAUGCAGCUCAAUGUACAACAAACAAUAUUUCAAAGCCAAUCAUACCCACUCUGAACACGUAGCCCUUCGCGUGAUGGAAUUACCCGAGGUCGUUGACGAGCUAAAUAUAGAUACUGUGUACGUGACAGUAGGCAUAGACCAUAGUCCGUAUAUAGAAGUACAAAUAGACAGGUAGUAACUUAUAGAUUUAUAUUAGAUAGAUAUACAUUUUAUAUAGAAUAAUAUAUAUAAUAUAAUAAUAAUAUAUAUAUAACUAAUAGAAGUACAGAUCAUAAUCUAUAGUAGUCUAUUACUAGUAUUCUAUAGUUACAUAGACUCAUUCUAUUAGACUGUUAGGCAGUUACUAUUAGAUCUGUCAUAUUUUAUACCCCUGUAGUACCAAAUUAUUCUAGUAAAUGUUAGAUGUUAUAUAUAAUAUAUACAUUUUAUUUUAUAUUUUAUACAGUUUGCAUUUCAUUUCAAAAAUAUUAAUUGUAAACUUUAUUAAACUUUCAGAUCUCGCAUUAACAUUUUCAAGACGAAGUAUCAUGGACAGUAUUGAAGUAUUACAUACUAUAAAGGAAUACUCUAAAAUCUGUCGUUAACAUUUUGAAGACGAUGAAGUAUUGUGGACUAGCUACUACACAUGAAAGAGUAGAGAGUGCAUUAAAAAAAGAGUAAAGUCUCAUGAAGUCGCAGGAUGGCUGCCUGGUCUUGUGGUUUGCGCGCUGGACUGUCAUUUGGAUUUAUCGAUGUUUCUGGUUCAAACCCUGCCAGCUCCCAUCCCCUGUCGUCACGGAGGUCAUGAGUCAGCCGACGCAAAUCGCCCCAGGCCAGCGCUAGACAAGCGGUCAACCGUGACGAGUUAUGACAGUCAGCCGAGACAAGUGUCAACAUGAUGGUUCGGGAAGGAUCGACGUCGUGAACAGAGCUCAGGAGCGUCACAAGGGUUGUAGUCAUCUGACCACCCAGAAUGGUCCAGCGACGUUCUGCCCGGUUCUAGAAGGCCAGCAGGGACCCUAUAUAAAGUGCGGAGGUGUUGCAGUCAAGAAGGUUCACGACAGGGGUUCAGAACACGGUCGACCACAGCACAGUUCAAUGGUGUGAUUCUGUACGGAGCAUUACGACAGUUCAGUGCGGAGUACUGUCAAGUACAGUUGAGUUGGUCUGCGAUCGAGUCCGACACAACGAGCCUAGUGUGUGAAGUCAGUCCUGAACUGUUGAACCCAGUGCACGCCCGGAACGAGAUGGAGAGGCCAGUGCAAGAGUUGAUACGGCGGUACGGUGUUAUCGGAGAGAUAUUUGUACAGUGUACAUGUUGCCAAUUGUACAGUAUUGGCUGUUAUUUAUUCAACUAUUAAAGUGUUAGUUACUUUGGAGCCCUGAGUUGUCAAGUUCUUUAAGUUCGUGGUGUAUGGUGCAGUUUGCAGAGAGCCUGGAUAGUGAGAUUCGUAACAAUAUGAUAAUUAUUAUAUUUAUUACUAAAUAUAUAGUUCGCAUUUUUUCCGCUCCUGAGCACGAAUAUUUUCUCCUGGAAAACUCUUGGAAAUCUCCUGAAAUCCUAAUCUCAGAAUGGUGGGGGAACCCUGUGAAAA
This is a long non-coding RNA of Biomphalaria glabrata, 4182 nucleotides long. RefSeq lists it as uncharacterized. Lineage: Eukaryota; Metazoa; Mollusca; Gastropoda; Planorbidae. The record is from RefSeq and is a predicted model, not a curated record. The transcript has 2 exons.